RNAcentral lists this ribosomal RNA (227 nucleotides) under Achromobacter sp. Its description in RNAcentral is "partial 16S ribosomal RNA". It matches the Rfam family "Bacterial small subunit ribosomal RNA", at positions 657 to 883 of the family's 1533-position model. Lineage: Bacteria; Pseudomonadati; Pseudomonadota; Betaproteobacteria; Burkholderiales; Alcaligenaceae. The record is from RNAcentral.
GGAGGUGGAAUUCCGCGUGUAGCAGUGAAAUGCGUAGAUAUGCUGGAGGAACACCGAUGGCGAAGGCAGCCUCCUGGGAUAACACUGACGCUCAUGCACGAAAGCGUGGGGAGCAAACAGGAUUAGAUACCCUGGUAGUCCACGCCCUAAACGAUGUCAACUAGCUGUUGGGGCCUUCGGGCCUUGGUAGCGCAACUAACGCGUGAAGUUGACCGCCUGGGGAGUAC